RNAcentral lists this ribosomal RNA (444 nucleotides) under uncultured bacterium. Its description in RNAcentral is "partial 16S ribosomal RNA". It matches the Rfam family "Bacterial small subunit ribosomal RNA", at positions 338 to 795 of the family's 1533-position model. The record is from RNAcentral.
CCUACGGGAGGCAGCAGUGGGGAAUAUUGGGCAAUGGGCGCAAGCCUGACCCAGCAACGCCGCGUGAAGGAAGAAGGCUUUCGGGUUGUAAACUUCUUUUCUCAGGGACGAAGAAAGUGACGGUACCUGAGGAAUAAGCCACGGCUAACUACGUGCCAGCAGCCGCGGUAAUACGUAGGUGGCAAGCGUUAUCCGGAUUUACUGGGUGUAAAGGGCGGGUAGGCGGGAAAGCAAGUCAGAUGUGAAAACCAUGGGCUCAACCUGUGGCCUGCAUUUGAAACUGUUUUUCUUGAGUACUGGAGAGGCAGACGGAAUUCCUCGUGUAGCGGUGAAAUGCGUAGAUAUGAGGAGGAACACCAGUGGCGAAGGCGGUCUGCUGGACAGCAACUGACGCUGAGGCGCGAAAGCGUGGGGAGCAAACAGGAUUAGAUACCCCGUGUAGUC